Molecule: ribosomal RNA, 468 nt
Filed under: uncultured bacterium
Lineage: Bacteria
Description: partial 16S ribosomal RNA
Rfam family: Bacterial small subunit ribosomal RNA
Source: RNAcentral
GACGAACGCUGGCGGCGUGCUUAACACAUGCAAGUCGAACGGAAAGGCCCUGCUUUUGUGGGGUGCUCGAGUGGCGUACGGGUGAGUAACACGUGAGUAACCUGCCCUUGACUUUGGGAUAACUUCAGGAAACUGGGGCUAAUACCGGAUAGGAGCUCCUGCUGCAUGGUGGGGGUUGGAAAGUUUCGGCGGUUGGGGAUGGACUCGCGGCUUAUCAGCUUGUUGGUGGGGUAGUGGCUUACCAAGGCUUUGACGGGUAGCCGGCCUGAGAGGGCGACCGGCCACAUUGGGACUGAGAUACGGCCCAGACUCCUACGGGAGGCAGCAGUGGGGAAUAUUGCACAAUGGGCGGAAGCCUGAUGCAGCAACGCCGCGUGCGGGAUGACGGCCUUCGGGUUGUAAACCGCUUUCGCCUGUGACGAAGCGUGAGUGACGGUAAUGGGUAAAGAAGCACCGGCUAACUACGUG